UUUGUGUGCUGGGAGAAGCAGUACCGAGAGGAGCUGUGGACGGCACAGAAGAGAGAAUGCCGGUAUAAGUAGCGCGAGGCAUGCGAGAAACAUGCCCGUCGAUAGCCUAAGGUUUCCUGGGGAAGGCUCGUCCGCCCAGGGUAAGUCGGGGCCUAAGCCGAGGACGGAAGUCGUAGGCGAUGGACAGCAGGCAGAGAUUCCUGCACUACCGAAGAUCGUUUGAGUGAAGCAGUGACACAGAAGGAUAGCCUGAGCAGGGUAAUGGUCAUCCUUGUACAAGCGGUGAGGCUGGUGAGUAGUGAAGUACGCUCACUAAGGCUGGGCCGUGAUGUGGAGUGAAAUUUGAAGUAGCGAAGCAGGCGAUUUCACACUGGCGAGAAAAGCUGCUGGCGAGAUCGGAGGUACCCGUACCGCAAACCGACACAGGUAGGUAAGGAGAGAAUCCUAAGACGAACGGGAGAACACUUGUUAAGGAACUCGGCAAAAUGACCCCGUAACUUCGGGAGAAGGGGUGCUGCAGAGAUGCAGCCGCAGAGAAGAGUCCCAAGCGACUGCUUAGCAAAAACACAGGUAUCUGCGAAAGCGAGAGCUGACGUAUAGGUGCUGACACCUGCCCGGUGCUGGAAGGUUAAGGGGAACUGUUAGAGCAAUCGAAGCAGAGAACCGAAGCCCCAGUAAACGGCGGCCGUAACGAUAACGGUCCUAAGGUAGCGAAAUUCCUUGUCGGGUAAGCUCCGACCCGCACGAAUGGUGUAACGACUUGGGAGCUGUCUCAACAAGUGGCCCGGUGAAAUUGAAGUGUGCGUGAAGAUGCACAUUACCCGCGACUGGACGGAAAGACCCCGUAGAGCUUUACUGCAGCCUGAUAUUGGAUUUUGGCAACAAAUGUACAGAAUAGGUGGGAGCCGGAGAGAGCAGAACGCCAGUUUUGCCGGAGGCGCCGUUGGGAUACCACUCUUUUGUUGCCGGAGUUCUAACUUGAAACAGUAAUCCUGGUCAGGGACAGUGUCAGGUGGGCAGUUUGACUGGGGCGGUCGCCUCCUAAAAGGUAACGGAGGCGCUCAAAGGUAUCCUCAGAAUGGAUGGAAACCAUCCGAAGAGCGUAAAGGCAGAAGGAUGCCUGACUGCGAGACUGACAAGUCGAGCAGAGAGGAAACUCGGACUUAGUGACCCGGCGGUAUGAGAGUGGAAUUGCCGUCGCUCAACGGAUAAAAGCUACCUCGGGGAUAACAGGCUGAUCUCCCCCAAGAGUCCACAUCGACGGGGAGGUUUGGCACCUCGAUGUCGGCUCGUCGCAUCCUGGGGCUGAAGCAGGUCCCAAGGGUUUGGCUGUUCGCCAAUUAAAGCGGCACGCGAGCUGGGUUCAGAACGUCGUGAGACAGUUCGGUCCCUAUCCAUCGUGGGCGUAGGAUACAUGAGAGGAGCUGUUCCUAGUACGAGAGGACCGGAAUGGACGUACCUCUGGUGCAACUGUUGUCGUGCCAACGGCAUAGCAGGGAAGCGAAGUACGGACGGGAUAAACGCUGAAGGCAUCUAAGCGUGAAGCCCCCCUCGAGAACAAGUAUCCCACAGCGUAAGCUGGUAAGACCCCUUGCAGACAACAAGGUUGAUAGGUUGACGGUGUAAACGCAGUGAUGCGUGAGCUUGUCAAUACUAAUCGGUCGAGGGCUUGAUU
This 1675-nucleotide ribosomal RNA is filed under the name metagenome. Its description in RNAcentral is "bacterial LSU rRNA". It matches the Rfam family "Bacterial large subunit ribosomal RNA", at positions 1238 to 2925 of the family's 2925-position model. The record is from RNAcentral.